AUGGCCGCGCUGCUCGCCGUCAUCGUCUCGCUGUACCGGUACCAGGAGCUGAUGAACCAGUACGCCCUGCUCACCCUCUACGCGUUCCACGUGUACUUGGCCCUGGAGCUGGUCCUGGCGUCGGCGGCCGCGGCGGCGCGCGCGCUGCUGGGCAUGGAUCUGGAGCCGCAGUUCGACCGGCCGUACCUGUCGGCGUCGCUGCGGGAUUUCUGGGGACGGCGCUGGAACCUGUCGGUGCCCGCCGUGCUCCGGCCGUGCGUGUACCGCCCAGUGCGCGCGCGCCUGGGCCCGGCCGCGGGGGUGCUCGCGACGUUCCUGGUGUCCGGGCUGGUGCACGAGCUCAUGUUCUACUACAUCACGCUGCGGCCGCCCACCGGGGAGGCGACCGCCUUCUUCGCGCUGCACGGCGCGUGCGCGGUGGCGGAGGCGUGGUGGGCGAGGCACGACGCGUGGUGGCGCCCGCCGCGGCUGGUGGCCACCCCGCUGACGCUGGCGUUCGUGCUCGUGACGGCGUUCUGGCUCUUCUUCCCGCCGAUCACGAGGCCCGGGGCCGACAAGCUGGUGAUCGCCGAGUGCGAGGCGGCCGUCGCGUUCGUCCAGGACGCCGGCGCCUGGGCGGCCGGCUCCGUCCGGUCGGUCUGGACUGGGCGCUCGUAG
RNAcentral lists this ribosomal RNA (657 nucleotides) under Triticum aestivum (bread wheat). Its description in RNAcentral is "partial small subunit ribosomal RNA". Lineage: Eukaryota; Viridiplantae; Streptophyta; Magnoliopsida; Poales; Poaceae. The record is from RNAcentral.